UUAAAAGAAAAAUUAAAAAGAAAAAACAAACGAGAGAUGAAUAGCUUAAAAUUUAAAAGAGUCCUUAUUGCAUCUUUCUGUCUCUUCCUCCUCCAGUCAUACGCAGUGCAAGGGAUAGUCAGAAUCGGUUUGACUAUGGGUAAUAAUACUUCAUUCAACAAAAACGGAGUGGGGAUGAUAACUUCUGACGAAGAUAUCUUUUACGGAGAAAUAACAAUUGGUACACCGGGGUAACGUUUCACAGUCGUGUUUGAUACCGGAAGCAGCGAUCUUUGGGUACCAUCUGGAAAUUGGAAGGGCAAGAAGCCUCACAAUCUUUACAAGUCGCAAAAAUCAAGCACUUACAAACCAAAUGG
Molecule: non-coding RNA, 356 nt
Organism: Camelina sativa (false flax)
Lineage: Eukaryota; Viridiplantae; Streptophyta; Magnoliopsida; Brassicales; Brassicaceae
Source: RefSeq, a predicted model, not a curated record